Molecule: ribosomal RNA, 494 nt
Filed under: uncultured bacterium
Lineage: Bacteria
Description: partial 16S ribosomal RNA
Rfam family: Bacterial small subunit ribosomal RNA
Source: RNAcentral
AGUGAACGCUGGCGGCAUGCUUUACACAUGCAAGUCGAACGGCAGCGGGGAGGAGCUUGCUUCUCUGCCGGCGAGUGGCGAACGGGUGAGUAAUACAUCUGAACGUGUCGAGAAGAGGGGGAUAACCACCCGAAAGGGUUGCUAAUACCGCAUAAAUGCUGAGGAAGAAAGCUGGGGACCUAGGAAUAGGCCUAGCGCUUUUUUGGCGGCCGAUGUCGGAUUAGCUAGUUGGGGAGGUAAAGGCUCACCAAGGCGAAGAUCUGUAGCGGGUCUGAGAGGAUGAUCCGCCACACUGGAACUGAGACACGGCCCAGACUCCUACGGGAGGCAGCAGUGGGGAAUUUUGGACAAUGGGGGCAACCCUGAUCCAGCCAUGCCGCGUGUAUGAAGAAGGCCUUAGGGUUGUAAAGUACUUUUGUUAGGGAAGAAAAGCAAGCUGUGAAUAACGGCUGAUACUGACGGUACCUAAAGAAUAAGCACCGGCUAACUACGUG